This 466-nucleotide ribosomal RNA is filed under the name uncultured Sphingobacteriales bacterium. RNAcentral describes it as "bacterial SSU rRNA". It matches the Rfam family "Bacterial small subunit ribosomal RNA", at positions 912 to 1382 of the family's 1533-position model. Lineage: Bacteria; Pseudomonadati; Bacteroidota; Sphingobacteriia; Sphingobacteriales. The record is from RNAcentral.
GACGGGGGCCCGCACAAGCGGAGGAACAUGUGGUUAAUUCGAUGAUACGCAGGAACCUUACCUGGGCUUAAAUGGGGAGUGACAGCUGUCGAAAGAUGGUUUUCUUCGGACACUCUUCAAGGUGCUGCAUGGUUGUCGUCAGCUCGUGCCGUGAGGUGUCGGGUUAAGUCCCAUAACGAGCGCAACCCUUACCGUUAGUUACCAUCAGGUUAAGCUGGGGACUCUAGCGGGACUGCCACCGUAAGGUGAGAGGAAGUGGGGAUGACGUCAAAUCAGCACGGCCCUUAUGUCCAGGGCUACACACGUGUUACAAUGGCCAGUACAAAGGGCAGCUACCGGGUGACCGGAUGCUAAUCUCUAAAGCUGGUCUCAGUUCGGAUCGAAGUCUGCAACCCGACUUCGUGAAGCUGGAUUCGCUAGUAAUCGCGCAUCAGCCAUGGCGCGGUCGAAUACGUUCCCGGGCCUU